AUUUCAAAAUCAAUAUAUGCCUUCCACAACAACUCUGGCAUGUCCAAGGCUGCCUGUGCUAUUGCAAGCUCGAAAAUUGAUCGUGCCCGUUCAGUUUCAGACAGAGAUCUCUCCAGUUCCGCAUAUUUGCUCCAAGCAUAACAAUUUUCAGGUGACCACUCUAAAUAUUUCUCAUAAAGCUUUCGACAGCGAUCAAUAUUACCAAGUUGCAGCUCUAUCUCAAUAUAUUUCUUAAAAAUCUUAUCUUUGGGAGCUUUGCCAAUGGCAUUGCCUAAAAUUUGUCGAGCACCCAUGAGAUUCAACCGUCGAAUUUCAAAUUGUGCAGCUAAAAGCCAUAUCUUUGCAAAUGA
This 350-nucleotide unclassified non-coding RNA is filed under the name Hevea brasiliensis (rubber tree). Lineage: Eukaryota; Viridiplantae; Streptophyta; Magnoliopsida; Malpighiales; Euphorbiaceae. The record is from RNAcentral.